Trematomus bernacchii (emerald rockcod) is the source of this 3988-nucleotide RNA transcript. It is a transcript of the gene named interferon regulatory factor 2 binding protein 1, with no coding region annotated. The transcript is spliced from 3 exons. The record is from RefSeq and is a predicted model, not a curated record. NCBI's taxonomy places the organism in Eukaryota, Metazoa, Chordata, Actinopteri, Perciformes, Nototheniidae.
GUUACGUAACGCUUCAGCGUCCGUCGGGAAGCAGUUGACAGCAGCAGACAAGAGCGGGCCGAAGUGGGUAAACAAAACAAACAUAUGAAAAAAAGAGCAAAGAAAACCGAACACUUUGCUAUAAUUUUAUAUCCGUAGGAUGUUUAACAUUGUUAUUAAGCGGCUUGAAUUCCGUUAAAGAAGAAAGUCUUUAGCAAAGGAGGGCGUGCACCUGCCAGAGCUAAACAGGUUAACCUAGCUAACGUGUGCUAGCAGCCUCUCAGGUUAGCAGGCUAGCCUUGCAGCCAUGUCGUCCCCCUCCUCCUCCCGGCGCCAGUGGUGCUACCUGUGCGACCUGCCGAAGAUGCCGUGGACUGUGGUGUGGGACUUCAGCGAGGUGGUUUGCCGUGGCUGCGUGAACUACGAAGGAGCUAAUCAGAUAGAGUUCCUCAUAGCGAGUGCCCGACAGCUGAAACGGACCCAUGGGAUGCAGGACGGUAACGUCAGGUCACCUGGUCCCUCGCCCAAUAAACACGGCACAUCUGGCAGAGGAGAUGCGGAGGGAGGCAGGCCGCACAUGGACCGCUUCGAAAGGGGAGGAAGAGGAGAAGUCACCGUGUCAGCUAUUCGUGUGCCCCCCAACGGGUUGCACCGUGACGGCCAGCCUCAACAAGAAGUAAACCGUCAGAGCCCCAGCGGGAGCAGAAGACCCAUGCUAGGCGCUACUAUCAAUCCUAACCUCGUAACUCAAAGUAUCGCAGGGAUUCCCCAUGGGCUACUUGCGGGCAUGACGGCGGGUCUGACCGCCAGGACAGCCCCUAUGAGUAACCCCAUGAGCAACCCCAUGAUCUUCCCUGCACCGGUGCUGUCCGAGAUGAGCCGCAGACAGCUGGGGAUCGGGAUGGGGAUAGCCCCUUUCAUCACUCCGGAGCUGGAGCGAGAGCUCAGUUCAUCCCUGAACCAGUCCAAGAAUCAGACGCAGAUCCACAGUGCUGUGGCUGGCAGCAGCUCCAGCAAGAGUUCAGGCCUCCCUUCGUCAUCCUCGACCCCAGCUGGAGGUGUGAGCCAGACCAGCCCCAAGCCUGCCUCAUCUCCAGCCAGGCAGCCACGUCCCCUAACCUCCAGGUCUGGAGGGGAACCCCUUGGAUCCAGCUCCUCAGCAGAGGCGGCCACCACAGCUGCAGCGUUACCCCACAGUGGUGCCUCUGAGCUGGGAUCAGCAUCUGCCAGCAACACCCAUUCCACAGGAAACACUCUGUCGUGCACUCUGUGUCAUGAGAGGCUGGAAGACACACACUUUGUACAGUGUCCAUCAGUGCCCGGGCAUAGGUUCUGCUUCCCCUGCACCAGAGUGUACAUCCAGAGCCGGCGGGGCGAUGGGGAGGUGUACUGUCCCAGCGGGGAGCGCUGUCCGUUGGACACGUCUCCCAACAGCCCCCCUUGGGCCUUCAUGCAGGGAGAGGUCUCCACCAUCCUGGGCUCUGGAGGAGCAGGAGCUGCAUCAGCUGCUGCUCCUGGAGCUGGGAACGGGCCCGGGCCGGGAGCUGGGCCCGGGGCCGGGGGCGGAGCUGCCAGCGGAGACGUCACUGUCAAAAAAGAAAGGGAGACGUGAUGGGGAUUUCCAUGGAAACCAAGCCAGGACCUAACACAGCAACAGGCAGGUCCACAGACGUCUGAGCAGCUGUACACUGAGAGCAGCUGGCAUAUCACAGCAUACCAGAAGGAGGCGUCUGCAAUGGAGCUCUGAGAGAUCCAGAGGAGAAGCACCACAGCUCAGAAAACAUUCACAGGUCUCGACUCCAACUACUCACACCACCAAAUUCUAUUGACUAUUCUAUCAAUGAUCAGACCUGAAAUGCCUGUAUGAUGUACUGUUGGAAUCAGAUAUUCAGGGCCAAUCAGCAGUGGCUACUUUUUGUCAAGUUACUUGUAGUUGUGCCAGUUGAAACAACUGAUCACGCCCACAUUAGCACUGCCAGCUAGCUACUGUUAGCAGCUGGAAAUCAAUGGGCUGAAGCAACACAUAUUUUUCAACAGGAGUUUUCUACAAUCCACACAACUUACAACUACAUUACAAUAACUCUAAAAAUGCUGUAAUGACAUUCAAUAUAUUCUCACUACAUGUUGAAUAAGCACCUUAAGAAACAACCAGUGCCAACAGGACUACUGAACUCUAUAUAUAGCUACUCACCAGUGUAUUCAUAUAUCAUUAUCAUUGAUUUGAUCUGCUAAAGGUAGCUAGCAUAGCAGCAGAAGGUAGCUUGUUAGCAGUAUAGCAAUGUUUUUUGUUUCAAAUUACCCUUCUUAAACUCACAGAGAGUAGCCAUGGUCCACAGUUUUUUGCCAGAAAGCACAAAAGCUUAUUUUGAGGAAUCCAACACAAAUGCUGUACUGAAAUAGCAGCCACGGUUGUUCUAUAUAUCUUUCUCUUGAUGAUCAAAUGUUUGCCGGCAGCAUGCAGUGGAAACCAGUUAGAACUAGCCAUUGUCUCUGCCAGUGCUUGAUCCAAACAAAACAUUUGUGCGUACUACGAAUGCAAUUCACGUGAACAACUGACCGUAAAAUCCAUAAAAUGGACCGUUAUAAUGAAAAGUGUACCUUAAAUUUGAAAGACAGAUGUAAUAUGUUUUAAUGUUAUAUGACUGAAUCUGUGUCCUGCCAUACAACCUUUUUUUUCCUAGAAAAUAGUAAAAAAAAAUCCUGUAAAACAACAUGAAAUAUGGACAUAAUGCCAGUAAUGACAUUUCUCUUUUUGUGUUUUUUGUUUUUUAUGUCGGCGUUAAAUAGAGCUGACAGUGACGCAGAGAAAGGAGAGUGUGUGGGAGCAUAGACCAGCCUCAGAGACUCGGUGUGUGUAACUGUAUCUAAAUGUUGCUUUCAUACAAGAUCCAGCCCAGCCUACGCUUUACCCCGAAUGUAUAUUGAAGAUAUCUAUUGAUAGGCCUAGGACUGUUUUAUACUAGAAUGUUCAAUGUUAGUAUAUACUGUAUAGAUCUAAUAGUUUGUGCAAUCCUUAGUCAUAUGCAAACGUUUGUAAUUAAAAAUGAUUGUUUAUCAUUUCUUAAAGAUUUAGUUCUUUUAAAAGUUAGAAUCCACCUAAAAGCAGAAUUGUUGUUUCUCCCAAUGGACACAAGACUUCCGAUCACAUUAUUGGAACGCAGUCCAUAUUUAAAAAUAUAUAUAUAUAUAUUUUCAUGGUUGAACUCAGCACAUGGUGACAUUAAUUAUCUUCAUUUGAAUAAAUCACCGUCUUCUGGAAUGUGCUUUCCAUUCACAUCCAUAGAACCAUUCAUGGAUGAUCACACAUACUGUAAAUCAGACUUUUUUUUGCCAGAGAAUGUACAAAUAUUGAAUGUUCAUGAAUUGAACAAUCCAAAAUUGGUCACAUUUUAUACAAAUUAGCUUUUCGGGGGAUUCUUUCUUUAUGCUCUACAUGUACUCGACAGUACAGAAGCACAGACAAACCAAAGGUAACUGUACGCCCAAAUUGAUGUUUCUGGAUGUAAAUGUUUUAUGGAAAUCUUUUCUUCAUCAAGCCGUUACAGUUUACAGGUCCACGUGGUCUACUGUAAUUAUGGGAUUUCAUAUUAAAAGUCUACAGUAUGCAGCAAAUACUGUUAUAUUGAUAAGAGUAUCCCACAGAUCAGGUGUGUUGAAGAAAAAAUGUAUUUGAAGAAGUGGAAUUUCAGUUUAAUAUGCACUGAUACGUCAUGCAAUCCCUUGUUAAGUGCCUUUUUAAAUGUUUACCGUCUGUUUGUGUGUCUGGGAACCUCAGGGGAAGUGCAGUGGCUUUUUUUAUUGUUUGCUCAAUGAUUAACCUGUGUCCCUGCUGUCGCCAUCACACGGCUCUGCUUUGAUCGGAGCCUUUGUAAAGGGGCCAGCCAUUCAUUGUCCUGAUACGGUCUCUCCUCACAUCUCUUCCUUUUUUAUGUGUCAUCUCUAGAUCUGUUGGCUUUAUUGCAGCUUCAUGUACAAAAUAGAAACCAGGAAUAAACGGGAUGGAAACUUG